Long non-coding RNA from Peromyscus eremicus (cactus mouse), 593 nucleotides. RefSeq lists it as uncharacterized. NCBI's taxonomy places the organism in Eukaryota, Metazoa, Chordata, Mammalia, Rodentia, Cricetidae. The record is from RefSeq and is a predicted model, not a curated record. The transcript is spliced from 2 exons.
UCAUUCAAUGUUACUAAGGGUUUUGUUUGAAGAGAAUUUAGAGUUCAAAGGUCCAUUUGGCUAUGAGACCCUUUAAGUGUGUUGCUAACCACGAGAAUCUUCUGGCAAUGUGUCAAAAAUAUCCUCAAUUGAUCACGUGGUUAAACCAAAUGAAAGAACAUCAGACCUGCCAGGAUCUUUUUAGUGACAAUCAUCUUAGAUCCGUCUGAGAGGCAAAUUCAUGUGUGAGUGCUACCAUCUGCUGUCAGUACUCAUGAACUAAGCAGAUGUGCUUGGAGAAAACGGCCAUGAGGAAGUACACAGGCAAUGGUGUGCUAGGCCGACAAGUCAAUAAGCACCUCCCUGGAACACAGUUCUCCUAAAUGGUUUUCUGAGGAAAUAGAAAUGAUGGGUCAGAUUUCUAUCUCUGCAACUCCAGAGGAGUUAUACAGGCACAUUCCCUCAUGAAAUUUAAUUUUGCAAUGGUUAAAUGUCUCAUAAAGCAAGUCUGACAUGAAUCCUGGGAAUUGCUUUAAAACUAUUAGAUGUGACUAUCAGAAGGAAAUUAUAAUACUGCACCUUCUUACAUGUAAUAAACAUGAUGAGUCACUUGG